UACGGAGGGUGCAAGCGUUAAUCGGAAUUACUGGGCGUAAAGCGCGCGUAGGCGGUUACGUAAGUCGGAUGUGAAAGCCCCGGGCUUAACCUGGGAAUUGCAUUCGAUACUGCGUGACUAGAGUUUGGUAGAGGCUAGCGGAAUUCCAGGUGUAGCGGUGAAAUGCGUAGAUAUCUGGAGGAACAUCAGUGGCGAAGGCGGCUGGCUGGACCAAAACUGACGCUGAGGUGCGAAAGCGUGGGGAGCAAACAGG
Molecule: ribosomal RNA, 253 nt
Filed under: uncultured bacterium
Lineage: Bacteria
Description: partial 16S ribosomal RNA
Rfam family: Bacterial small subunit ribosomal RNA
Source: RNAcentral